Molecule: ribosomal RNA, 468 nt
Filed under: uncultured bacterium
Lineage: Bacteria
Description: partial 16S ribosomal RNA
Rfam family: Bacterial small subunit ribosomal RNA
Source: RNAcentral
GACGAACGCUGGCGGCGUGCUUAACACAUGCAAGUCGAACGGAAAGGCCCUGCUUUUGUGGGGUGCUCGAGUGGCGAACGGGUGAGUAACACGUGAGUAACCUGCCCUUGACUUUGUGAUAACUUCAGGAAACUGGGGCUAAUACCUGAUAGGAGCUCCUGCUGCAUGGGGGGGGUUGGAAAGUUUCGGCGGUUGGGGAUGGACUCGCGGCUUAUCAGCUGGUUGGUGGGGUAGUGGCUUACCAAGGCUUUGACGGGUAGCCGGCCUGGGAGGGUGACCGGCCACAUUGGGACUGAGAUACGGCCCAGACUCCUACGGGAGGCAGCAGUGGGGAAUAUUGCACAAUGGGCGGAAGCCUGAUGCAGCAACGCCGCGUGCGGGAUGACGGCCUUCGGGUUGUAAACCGCUUUCGCCUGUGACGAAGCGUGAGUGACGGUAAUGGGUAAAGAAGCACCGGCUAACUACGUG